Molecule: ribosomal RNA, 798 nt
Filed under: uncultured Bacteroidota bacterium
Lineage: Bacteria; Pseudomonadati; Bacteroidota
Description: bacterial SSU rRNA
Rfam family: Bacterial small subunit ribosomal RNA
Source: RNAcentral
AGGAGAGUUUGAUCCUGGCUCAGGAUGAACGCUAGCGGCAGGCUUAACACAUGCAAGUCGAGGGGCAGCGCGGGUAGCAAUACCUGGCGGCGACCGGCGAAAGGGUGAGUAACGCGUGAGCAACGUGCCCGUAUGUGGGGGAUAGUCGAUGGAAACGUCGCGUAAUACCCCGUAACACAUUUCCCCGCAUGAGGAGAUGUUGAAAGAUUUAUUGCAUACGGAUCGGCUCGCGUGCCAUUAGGUAGACGGCGGGGUAACGGCCCACCGUGCCGACGAUGGCUAGGGGUUCUGAGAGGAAGGUCCCCCACAUUGGAACUGAGACACGGUCCAGACUCCUACGGGAGGCAGCAGUGAGGAAUAUUGGACAAUGGCCGGAAGGCUGAUCCAGCCAUGCCGCGUGCGGGAGGACGGCCCUAUGGGUUGUAAACCGCUUUUGCGAGGGAGCAAUAAGAGUCACGUGUGGCUCGAUGAGAGUACCUCGCGAAUAAGCAUCGGCUAACUCCGUGCCAGCAGCCGCGGUAAUACGGAGGAUGCAAGCGUUAUCCGGAUUUAUUGGGUUUAAAGGGUGCGUAGGCGGUUUGCUAAGCGGGAGGUGAAAUGCCGGCGCUCAACGUCGGAAGUGCCUCCCGAACUGGUGGACUGGAAUGACUCUGCCGUGGGAGGAAUGUGUAGUGUAGCGGUGAAAUGCUUAGAGAUUACACAGAACACCGAUUGCGAAGGCAUCUCACGAAGGGUUGAUUGACGCUGAGGCACGAAAGCGUGGGGAUCAAACAGGAUUAGAUACCCUGGUAGUCCCCU